RNAcentral lists this ribosomal RNA (549 nucleotides) under Triticum aestivum (bread wheat). RNAcentral describes it as "partial small subunit ribosomal RNA". Lineage: Eukaryota; Viridiplantae; Streptophyta; Magnoliopsida; Poales; Poaceae. The record is from RNAcentral.
AUGGUUAACUUGCCAUCAGUGCAACAACAUGAUCAUACAAAGGAAAAAGGAUGGACAAUGCCAGAGCUCGGAUGGGCUAAGGUCAAUGUUGAUGGAAGUUUUUUGGAGGAAAAUAGGAGUGGAGCCUGGGGAGCUGUGAUUCGAGAUCAUGAUGGAAGAAUUAUAUUAUCAGCUUGGGAUUAUAUUCCGCGGUGCAAUGGAGCGGACUGCGCGGAAGCCAUGGCUUGCCUAGAAGGACUACGGAUGGCAAUGUCGGGGACGGAUCUACCCUUAAUCAUUGAGACGGAUUGCAGCUCGGUGACAAAGGCGCUUAUCCUCUCGUCUAUUGAUAGAUCGGAGGUUGCAACAAUUGUAAAGGAGUUUCAAACCAUGAAAGGGAACAGAGAAGUAAAAGUCUGCAAAGUAGAUAGAAGGGACAAUAGGUUAGCUCAUAGUCUUGCCCAGUUGGGGCGUAGAGAGUUGCGUGGUGAGGUUAUGCAAGGCACAGUGCCAACCUGCGUGUUGAGAGACGCCUUGCACGAUUGUACGAACUAUGUAUUCUCUACUUAA